This 763-nucleotide ribosomal RNA is filed under the name uncultured Streptococcus sp. RNAcentral's name for it is "bacterial SSU rRNA". It matches the Rfam family "Bacterial small subunit ribosomal RNA", at positions 28 to 776 of the family's 1533-position model. Lineage: Bacteria; Bacillati; Bacillota; Bacilli; Lactobacillales; Streptococcaceae. The record is from RNAcentral.
GACGAACGCUGGCGGCGUGCCUAAUACAUGCAAGUAGAACGCUGAAGGAGGAGCUUGCUUCUUCGGAUGAGUUGCGAACGGGUGAGUAACGCGUAGGUAACCUGCCUGGUAGCGGGGGAUAACUAUUGGAAACGAUAGCUAAUGCCGCAUAACAGUAGAUGUUGCAUGACAUUUGCUUAAAAGGUGCAAUUGCAUCACUACCAGAUGGACCUGCGUUGUAUUAGCUAGUUGGUGGGGUAACGGCUCACCAAGGCGACGAUACAUAGCCGACCUGAGAGGGUGAUCGGCCACACUGGGACUGAGACACGGCCCAGACUCCUACGGGAGGCAGCAGUAGGGAAUCUUCGGCAAUGGACGGAAGUCUGACCGAGCAACGCCGCGUGGGUGAAGAAGGUUUUCGGAUCGUAAAGCUCUGUUGUAAGAGAAGAACGAGUGUGAGAGUGGAAAGUUCACACUGUGACGGUAUCUUACCAGAAAGGGACGGCUAACUACGUGCCAGCAGCCGCGGUAAUACGUAGGUCUCGAGCGUUGUCCGGAUUUAUUGGGCGUAAAGCGAGCGCAGGCGGUUAGAUAAGUCUGAAGUUAAAGGCUGUGGCUUAACCAUAGUACGCUUUGGAAACUGUUUAACUUGAGUGCAAGAGGGGAGAGUGGAAUUCCAUGUGUAGCGGUGAAAUGCGUAGAUAUAUGGAGGAACACCGGUGGCGAAAGCGGCUCUCUGGCUUGUAACUGACGCUGAGGCUCGAAAGCGUGGGGAGCAAACAGG